CUUCUAGAUCAAUGUUAUCAUCCAAUAUUUAUAGCAGAAUUAUCACAUUUCGGAAUAUUUUGUAAAUCUCUCUUAUUAUUAUUAUUAGGACCUUUUGAAACUUUAUGGAGCCACUUUUUCUUUUUUUCUGUAACAUUGUGUCACUAUAUCGCACACGUACUUUUAAAGUGACACAAGUCAAAAAACUUGCAUUUUUGUGUUGGCACCAUUUUAAAACUUGGAAAGCAAUCCUCCAUCAAACAUCAAAAGCGUAUUUUGAAACGUUUUUCCUAAGGCGUACAAAUUUUGGAAAAAUUAUUAGUUAUGUAAUGGUUUUUGGUUAGCUGAUUUCAUAGUUUUCCCAAUUUUCCGAAACCGUUCAUUUUUGACUUGUGUCACUUUAGAAAUAUGUGUGCGAUAUGACUGUAAGAGUUAAAACAAAG
Molecule: long non-coding RNA, 422 nt
Filed under: Androctonus crassicauda
Lineage: Eukaryota; Metazoa; Arthropoda; Arachnida; Scorpiones; Buthidae
Source: RNAcentral